UACGACUACAUAUCAGGCAUAUCAAUAAGCGGAGGAAAAGAAACUAACUAGGAUUCCCUUAGUAACGGCGAGUGAAGCGGGAAGAGCUCAAAUUUGAAAUCUUCAAGGUUCUACCUUGACGAAUUGUAGUUUAAAGAAGUGUUUUCUGUUAGUGGAGUGGCAAAAGUUCUCUGGAAUAGGACAUCAUAGAGGGUGAGAAUCCCGUAUUUGGUCAUUCCUUCUAGCUUUGUGAUACACUUUCAAAGAGUCGGAUUGUUUGGGAAUGCAGUCCAAAAUGGGUGGUAAAUUUCAUCUAAAGCUAAAUAUUGGCGAGAGACCGAUAGCGAACAAGUACCGUGAGGGAAAGAUGAAAAGAACUUUGAAAAGAGAGUUAAACAGUACGUGAAAUUGUCAAAAGGGAAGCGUUUGACACCAGUGUUGUUUUCUCGAAAAUCAAUUAAAAAUGACCGGAUUUUGUGUUGUAUUGACUUUAUCAGCUUUCUGCACUUUUUUCUUGUCUUUUUAAUGCACUUUUCGUUUAACAAGUCAACAUCAAUUUCUUUUGUUGUAAAAGGGUCAUUGGAAGGUGGCUUUCACUUCGGUGAAAGUGUUUAUAGCCUUUGGCUUCUACAAUCGGAGAGAUUGAGGUCUGCAGCGUAGAUCCUUCGGGGUUAGAUACGUAGAUGCUAAGUUAUAGUUUUUUAUAGACAACUUGUUGACUAUGAUUAAUCAUGUAGCUUACUCGUUUACGCUAUUUUACCUACGCUUAGGAUGUUGAUCUCUCACAGUCGAGC
This 773-nucleotide ribosomal RNA is filed under the name uncultured Neocallimastigales. RNAcentral describes it as "partial large subunit ribosomal RNA". It matches the Rfam family "Eukaryotic large subunit ribosomal RNA", at positions 24 to 645 of the family's 3401-position model. Lineage: Eukaryota; Fungi; Neocallimastigomycota; Neocallimastigomycetes; Neocallimastigales. The record is from RNAcentral.